This 2063-nucleotide long non-coding RNA is filed under the name Solanum tuberosum (potato). RNAcentral describes it as "long non-coding RNA (STUB_LNC004799)". Lineage: Eukaryota; Viridiplantae; Streptophyta; Magnoliopsida; Solanales; Solanaceae. The record is from RNAcentral.
GGCCUUCUAUGGGAAGAAAAAUCCACUGCUUUGUGAGACCCAAUGGCUGCAAGCAAAUGAAUGAAGGGAAGAGUUACGUGCAAAGUUGAUGAAACCCACUAGAAAAUGCCAGACAAGAUUGAAGAACCCCUCUCAAAGCCUGAUAAUAUUCAGAUUACAGUGGAAGCACAAAUAUGGCAAAGAAACAAAAUUGGAAACCCCCUCUGUCGAAGCCUGAUAAUAUUCAGAUUGCAGUACAAGCACAGAAAUAGGCAAAGAAACAGGAUGCACAGGAAUGGACUCUGGGCAUCAACCUUCGAAACUUUCCAAAUCUAAUCCUCUUAACUGCCAUCCAUCCAACAAACAAAAUCACACUGGGAUGAUACCUUAGUUGCGCGGACUCUCCACUUUUAAUGCCGCACCCGUGUCGGAUUCUCCAAAAACACACUACAUUUGGCGAAUCCGACACGCACCCGUUGACAUUUUGAAGAGUCCGAGCAGCAACAUAGGGUGAUACAACAAAUGGAAAGCAGAAUAAAACACACACUGGUUGAAAAUAUAACCAUUAUUGAGAACUUCCACACAACAGUAGUUUUGACAAAGAGAAAAGGGUCCCACUUAUCAAGAAAAAAACUGAACUGGAGUUCAUUCUGUAGAAGACCCAACAGUUGCAUGCACAAAAAUAACAAAACAGGUAGGUGUAAAACAUGGGAAACUCAUACCACACAGCAAGACAACUAGAGAUGCCAAACAAUAUAACAUUGCAAAGGGACCAUUUCUUGAAGCGUCUGGUGAUAUCCUACCAUCCAGAUUGCAGUGCAAGCACCAGAAUGGCAAGAAAUAGGGUUCACAGGGCACAUCGAAACCAAAUUACAAAAUUUAAUCUUAUCCUCCUACUAUCAUCAUAUCAGCACCAUGUGGCCUACAAACAUUCAUCCAACCAAACUAAAUCAACUGGUAAGCUAAAUGAAAGCAAAGGAGGUAAGCAGCGAGAACAUGAAAAUAAAGGUGUUGCAGGGCUAUCAAAAGAUCCAAGACUGAGUUUGAAUACAUUCAUCGACUGUCCAUAACCAUGGAGAUCUCAUCAGUUGGAUCACUAACAAGCAUAAGCAUCUGGAUUACUUUAAAAAAUGGCAACAAAAUACGCAAUAGUGAAGCAGUGUUGACAAAGAGAGAAGGGAACCAUUCUGAUUACAGAAGAAAACUGAAUUGAAGAUCUCAAUAAUCAUUAAAGCAUCGACAAAAAAACCUCAACACAAAUUGACAGACAAGGCCGCUCCAUGAAAAGAAGAAUCUACAGCUUUGAAAGACCCAACAGCUGCAAGCACAGAAAGAAUGGAAUACUUUUAAGUGCAAAGUUGGUGAAGCCCGUACCACCUAGAAUUCACUAGAAAUGCAAGACAAGAUUGAGAACCGCCUUCUUUCAAAGCCUCUGAUAGUAUGAAGAUUGUAGUGCAUGCACUAACAUGCCAAGAAACAGGGUGCACGGGAUGCACACUGUACACCAACCUUCAAAAUCCUCCAACAAGUCUGAUCCCCUCAACUUUCACCAUACAUCCAUCCAACAAACAAAAUCAAGCUGGCGUAAUACAAGAAAAAGGAAGCAGAAAAAAUGAGCAGCGAGAACACCAAAAGAGAGGACCAUUUAUGAGGCUUUCAAGAGAUCCAAAUUGAGAUCUUGUCAGGUGUCCAUAAGACCAUAACCAUCAACCAUCUGGAGUCUCAUCAGUUGGAUAAUUAAAGAAAAGAAGCAUCUCGACAAAAAACCAAUAUGACAGUAGAAUAUGACACACACUAGUGAAAAACAAAAACUAUUUUAGAUGAAAAUCCCAGUACUCAUAAAAGCCUGAGGCAACCUCAACAUGUAUGGACAAACAACGCCACUCCAUGAAAAGAAUAAUUCACUGCUCUGUAAGACCCAAUGGCUGCAGGCACAAAAAGAAGGGUACAAUCAAGACCAACGUUGACGAAACCCACACCAACUAAGAAAUCACUAGAGAUGAGAUUUAGACAAGAUUUAAAAACCCUUCUUUGUUGAAGCCUUGACCAAUAUAUCCAGAUUGCAAUGCAAGAACCAAAGAGAC